GCCCCGUUAGCUCAGUUGGUAGAGCAGUCGCCUUUUAAGCGAACGGUCGCAGGUUCGAAUCCUGCACGGGGCACAA
Molecule: transfer RNA, 76 nt
Filed under: Candidatus Vogelbacteria bacterium RIFOXYD1_FULL_46_19
Lineage: Bacteria; Candidatus Vogeliibacteriota
Description: tRNA-Lys
Rfam family: tRNA
About the family: Transfer RNA (tRNA) molecules are approximately 80 nucleotides in length.
Source: RNAcentral